Molecule: ribosomal RNA, 688 nt
Filed under: uncultured bacterium
Lineage: Bacteria
Description: bacterial SSU rRNA
Rfam family: Bacterial small subunit ribosomal RNA
Source: RNAcentral
GGGACAACCCGCCGAAAGGCGGGCUAAACCCGCGUACAUGCCACCGGGGCAUCCCGGAGGCAGGAAAGGCUUCGGCCGGACAGGGAUGGGCAUGCGGCGCAUUAGGCAGUAGGCGGGGUAACGGCCCACCUAACCGACGAUGCGUAGGGGUUCUGAGAGGAAGGUCCCCCACACUGGUACUGAGACACGGACCAGACUCCUACGGGAGGCAGCAGUGAGGAAUAUUGGUCAAGGGUCGGGAGACUGAACCAGCCAAGCCGCGUGAGGGAUGAAGGUACAGAGUAUCGUAAACCUCUUUUGUCAGGGAACAAAGGCGGGGACGUGUCCCCGGAUGAGUGUACCUGAAGAAAAAGCAUCGGCUAACUCCGUGCCAGCAGCCGCGGUAAUACGGAGGAUGCGAGCGUUAUCCGGAUUUAUGGGGUUUAAAGGGUGCGCAGGCGGUCUGUUAAGUCAGCGGUCAAAGCCCGGGGCUCAACCCCGGCCCGCCGUUGAAACUGGCAGUCUCGAGUUGGAGAGAAGUAUGCGGAAUGCGCGGUGUAGCGGUGAAAUGCAUAGAUAUCGCGCAGAACUCCGAUUGCGAAGGCAGCAUGCCGGCUCCACACUGACGCUGAGGCACGAAAGCGUGGGUAUCGAACAGGAUUAGAUACCCUGGUAGUCCACGCAGUAAACGAUGAAUAAUGGCUGUCCG